UACGAGAGGCCCAAACGUUAUUCGGAUUUACUGGGCUUAAAGAGUUCGUAGGCGGUCUUGAAAGUGGGGUGUGAAAUCCCUCGGCUCAACCGAGGAACUGCGCUCCAAACUACAAGACUUGAGGGGGAUAGAGGUAAGCGGAACUGAUGGUGGAGCGGUGAAAUGCGUUGAUAUCAUCAGGAACACCGGAGGCGAAGGCGGCUUACUGGGUCCUUUCUGACGCUGAGGAACGAAAGCUAGGGGAG
This 245-nucleotide ribosomal RNA is filed under the name uncultured Pirellula sp. RNAcentral's name for it is "partial 16S ribosomal RNA". It matches the Rfam family "Bacterial small subunit ribosomal RNA", at positions 524 to 768 of the family's 1533-position model. Lineage: Bacteria; Pseudomonadati; Planctomycetota; Planctomycetia; Pirellulales; Pirellulaceae. The record is from RNAcentral.